Molecule: ribosomal RNA, 497 nt
Filed under: uncultured bacterium
Lineage: Bacteria
Description: partial 16S ribosomal RNA
Rfam family: Bacterial small subunit ribosomal RNA
Source: RNAcentral
GACGAACGCUGGCGGCGUGCCUAAUACAUGCAAGUAGAACGCUGAAGAGAGGAGCUUGCUCUUCUUGGAUGAGUUGCGAACGGGUGAGUAACGCGUAGGUAACCUGCCUUGUAGCGGGGGAUAACUAUUGGAAACGAUAGCUAAUACCGCAUAACAAUGGAUGACACAUGUCAUUUAUUUGAAAGGGGCAAUUGCUCCACUACAAGAUGGACCUGCGUUGUAUUAGCUAGUAGGUGAGGUAACGGCUCACCUAGGCGACGAUACAUAGCCGACCUGAGAGGGUGAUCGGCCACACUGGGACUGAGACACGGCCCAGACUCCUACGGGAGGCAGCAGUAGGAAAUCUUCGGCAAUGGGGGCAACCCUGACCGAGCAACGCCGCGUGAGUGAAGAAGGUUUUCGGAUCGUAAAGCUCUGUUGUAAGUCAAGAACGAGUGUGAGAGUGGAAAGUUCACACUGUGACGGUAGCUUACCAGAAAGGGACGGCUAACUACGUG